This 354-nucleotide ribosomal RNA is filed under the name uncultured bacterium. RNAcentral describes it as "partial 16S ribosomal RNA". It matches the Rfam family "Bacterial small subunit ribosomal RNA", at positions 338 to 709 of the family's 1533-position model. The record is from RNAcentral.
CCUACGGGAGGCAGCAGUGGGGGAUAUUGCACAAUGGGGGAAACCCUGAUGCAGCAACGCCGCGUGGGUGAUGAAGUUCUUCGGCUUGUAAACCCCUAUCGGCAGAGAAGAUUCUGACGGUUUCUAACCAAUAAACACCCGCCAACUCCGUGCCCGCAGCCGCGGUAAUACGGAGGGUGCAAGCGUUACUCGGAAUUACUGGGCGUAAAGGGUGCGUAGGCGGGCUAACAAGUCAGAUGUGAAAUCCCGGAGCUUAACUACCGAACUGCACUUGAAACUGUUAGGCUGGAGUGUGGGAGGGGUAGGUGGAAUUCUUGGUGUAGCGGUAAAAUCCGUAGAGAUCAAGAGGAAUAC